GCCCUUUGGGCCCUCUGCCUUCUGCACGGUGGGACCCACCCAACCAACAGGGCAGAACAGGGUACCAGACCUCUUGGAACUGGAGUUGUAAACUGCCAAGUGAAUGCUGGAAAUAGAACCCAGGAAGGGCAGCCAGCCAGUGCUCUUAUCCACUGAGCCAUCUCUUCAGCCCUGAAGAUGAAGAUGUAGAAUUCUCAGCUCUGCUUGCACCAUGCCUGCCUGGAUACUGCCAUGCUCUCACCCUGAUGAUAAUGGACUGAACCUCUGAACCUAGACAGGAAAAGAAGCCACUACCAUGAUACUCUCUAAGGAGGUGACUCACGCUACCAUGUAAAGGUACUCACUUCCAAGCAGCGGUGCAUAUACACGCAAAUAAAUGUCCUUCAAAGGACUCCAUGAAGAACGAACUACCUGAGGACCCAGCAAUACCACUCCUGGGCAUAUACCCAGAAGAUGCUCCAACAUGUAAUAAGGACACAUGCUCCACUAUGUUCAUACCGGCCUUAUUUAUUAUAGCCAGAAGCUGGAGAGAACCCAGAUGUCCCUCAACAGAGAAAUGAAUACAGAAAAUAUGGUACAUUUAUACAAUGGAGUACUACUCAGCUAUUAAAAACAAUGAAUUCAUGAAAUUCUUAGACAAAUGGAUGGAUCUGGAGGAUAUCAUCCUGAGUGAGGUAACUCAAUCACAAAAGAACACACAUGGUAUGCACUCACUGAUAAGUGAAUAUUAGCCCAGAAGCUCAGAAUACCCAAGAUAUAAUUUGCAAAACACAUGAAACUCAAGAAGGAAGACCAAAGUAUGGAUACUUCGAUCCUUCUUAGAAGGGAGAGCAAAAUACCCAUGGAAGGAGUUACAAAGUUUGGAGCAGAGACUGAAAGAAUGACCAUCCAGAGACUGCCUUACCUGGGGAUUCAUCCCAUACACAACCACCAAAACCAGACACUAUUGUGGAUGCCAACAAUAUUUUGCUGACAGGAGCCUGAUAUAGCUGUCUUCUGAGAGGCUCUGCCAGUGCCUGACAAAUACAGAAGUAGAUGCUCAUAGCCAUCCAUUGGACAGAACACAGGGUCCCCAAUGAAGGAGCUAGAGAAAGUAUCCAAGGAGCUGAAGGGAUUUGCAGCCCCAUAGGAGGAACAACAAUAUGAACUAACCAGUACCCUCAGAGCUCCCUGGGACUAAACCACCAAUCAAGAAAACACAUGGUGGGACUCAUGGCCCGAGGAUGGCCUAGUCAGUCAUCAACGGGAGGAGAGGCCCUUGGUCCUCUGAAGGUUCCAUGCCCCAGUAUAGGGGAAUGCCAGGGCCAGGAAACCAGAGUGGGUGGGUUGGUGAGCAGGGGGGGAUGGGUAGGAGGGUUUCGUGGGGAAACCAGGAAAAGGAAUAACAUUUGAAAUGUAAAUAAAGAAAAUAUCUAAUUAAAAAAAAAAGAAAAAGACUUAUUUCAUAA
RNAcentral lists this long non-coding RNA (1448 nucleotides) under Mus musculus (house mouse). Its description in RNAcentral is "predicted gene, 40733, transcript variant 3 (Gm40733)". The record is from RNAcentral. Lineage: Eukaryota; Metazoa; Chordata; Mammalia; Rodentia; Muridae.